GUAGGGAAUAUUGCUCAAUGGGGGAAACCCUGAAGCAGCAACGCCGCGUGGAGGAUGAAGGUUUUCGGAUUGUAAACUCCUUUUGUUAGAGAAGAUAAUGACGGUAUCUAACGAAUAAGCACCGGCUAACUCCGUGCCAGCAGCCGCGGUAAUACGGAGGGUGCAAGCGUUACUCGGAAUCACUGGGCGUAAAGAGCGCGUAGGCGGGAUAGCAAGUCAGAUGUGAAAUCCUAUGGCUUAACCAUAGAACUGCAUUUGAAACUGUUAUUCUAGAGUAUGGGAGAGGUAGGUGGAAUUCUUGGUGUAGGGGUAAAAUCCGUAGAGAUCAAGAGGAAUACUCAUUGCGAAGGCGACCUGCUAGAACAUAACUGACGCUGAUGCGCGAAAGCGUGGGGAGCAAACAGG
This 405-nucleotide ribosomal RNA is filed under the name uncultured bacterium. RNAcentral's name for it is "bacterial SSU rRNA". It matches the Rfam family "Bacterial small subunit ribosomal RNA", at positions 354 to 776 of the family's 1533-position model. The record is from RNAcentral. RNAcentral also lists the same sequence under 1 other name.